GACGAACGCUGGCGGCGUGCUUAACACAUGCAAGUCGAGCGGUAAGGCCCUUUCGGGGGUACACGAGCGGCGAACGGGUGAGUAACACGUGGGUGACCUGCCCUCAGCUCUGGGAUAAGCCUGGGAAACUGGGUCUAAUACCGGAUAUGACUCCAUGACGCAUGUUGUGGGGUGGAAAGCCUUGUGCGGCUGAGGAUGGGCCCGCGGCCUAUCAGCUUGUUGGUGGGGUGAUGGCCUACCAAGGCGACGACGGGUAGCCGGCCUGAGAGGGCGACCGGCCACACUGGGACUGAGACACGGCCCAGACUCCUACGGGAGGCAGCAGUGGGGAAUCUUGCGCAAUGGGGGAAACCCUGAUCCAGCCAUGCCGCGUGUGUGAAGAA
This 383-nucleotide ribosomal RNA is filed under the name uncultured bacterium. Its description in RNAcentral is "bacterial SSU rRNA". It matches the Rfam family "Bacterial small subunit ribosomal RNA", at positions 28 to 412 of the family's 1533-position model. The record is from RNAcentral.